UUCCACUUGUAUAAAGCACUU
Molecule: non-coding RNA, 21 nt
Filed under: Caenorhabditis elegans
Lineage: Eukaryota; Metazoa; Nematoda; Chromadorea; Rhabditida; Rhabditidae
Source: RNAcentral